RNAcentral lists this ribosomal RNA (759 nucleotides) under uncultured Enterobacteriaceae bacterium. RNAcentral's name for it is "bacterial SSU rRNA". It matches the Rfam family "Bacterial small subunit ribosomal RNA", at positions 28 to 776 of the family's 1533-position model. Lineage: Bacteria; Pseudomonadati; Pseudomonadota; Gammaproteobacteria; Enterobacterales; Enterobacteriaceae. The record is from RNAcentral.
AUUGAACGCUGGCGGCAGGCCUAACACAUGCAAGUCGAACGGUAACAGGAAGCAGCUUGCUGCUUCGCUGACGAGUGGCGGACGGGUGAGUAAUGUCUGGGAAACUGCCUGAUGGAGGGGGAUAACUACUGGAAACGGUAGCUAAUACCGCAUAACGUCGCAAGACCAAAGAGGGGGACCUUAGGGCCUCUUGCCAUCGGAUGUGCCCAGAUGGGAUUAGCUAGUAGGUGGGGUAACGGCUCACCUAGGCGACGAUCCCUAGCUGGUCUGAGAGGAUGACCAGCCACACUGGAACUGAGACACGGUCCAGACUCCUACGGGAGGCAGCAGUGGGGAAUAUUGCACAAUGGGCGCAAGCCUGAUGCAGCCAUGCCGCGUGUAUGAAGAAGGCCUUCGGGUUGUAAAGUACUUUCAGCGGGGAGGAAGGGAGUAAAGUUAAUACCUUUGCUCAUUGACGUUACCCGCAGAAGAAGCACCGGCUAACUCCGUGCCAGCAGCCGCGGUAAUACGGAGGGUGCAAGCGUUAAUCGGAAUUACUGGGCGUAAAGCGUACGCAGGCGGUUUGUUAAGUCAGAUGUGAAAUCCCCGGGCUCAACCUGGGAACUGCAUCUGAUACUGGCAAGCUUGAGUCUCGUAGAGGGGGGUAGAAUUCCAGGUGUAGCGGUGAAAUGCGUAGAGAUCUGGAGGAAUACCGGUGGCGAAGGCGGCCCCCUGGACGAAGACUGACGCUCACGUGCGAAAGCGUGGGGAGCAAACAGG